UUCAAAGGCAACAAAAUCUCAAAUAUAUGCCAAAGGAAUUUCUUCACCGAUACUACUACUAGGGCAAUGGAAGCUAAAGAGAAAAUUAACAAAUGGGACUACAUCAAAAUAAAAAGCUUUUUCACAG
Molecule: long non-coding RNA, 127 nt
Organism: Pipistrellus kuhlii (Kuhl's pipistrelle)
Lineage: Eukaryota; Metazoa; Chordata; Mammalia; Chiroptera; Vespertilionidae
Exons: 3
Source: RefSeq, a predicted model, not a curated record